GGAUCAUUACACAAUAUGAAAGCGGGCUGGCAUCCUUCGGGGUUACAGCCUUGCUGAAUUAUUCACCCGUGUCUUUUGCGUACUUCUUGUUUCCUUGGUGGGUUCGCCCACCAUAGGACAAACCAUAAACCUUUUUGUAAUUGCAAUCAGCGUCAGUAAAAAAAAUUAAUAAUUACAACUUUUAACAACGGAUCUCUUGGUUCUGGCAUCGAUGAAGAACGCAGCGAAAUGCGAUAAGUAGUGUGAAUUGCAGAAUUCAGUGAAUCAUCGAAUCUUUGAACGCACAUUGCGCCCUUUGGUAUUCCAAAGGGCAUGCCUGUUCGAGCGUCAUUUGUACCCUCAAGCUUUGCUUGGUGUUGGGCGUCUUGUCUCCAGUUCGCUGGAGACUCGCCUUAAAGUAAUUGGCAGCCGGCCUACUGGUUUCGGAGCGCAGCACAAGUCGCGCUCUCUUCCAGCCAAGGUCAGCAUCCACAAAGCCUUUUUUCAACUUUUGACCUCGGAUCAGGUAGGGAUACCCGCUGAACUUAAGCAUAUCAAUAAGCGGAGGAAAAGAAACCAACAGGGAUUGCCCUAGUAACGGCGAGUGAAGCGGCAACAGCUCAAAUUUGAAAUCUGGCUCUUUUAGAGUCCGAGUUGUAAUUUGCAGAGGGCGCUUUGGCUUUGGCAGCGGUCCAAGUUCCUUGGAACAGGACGUCACAGAGGGUGAGAAUCCCGUACGUGGUCGCUGGCUAUUGCCGUGUAAAGCCCCUUCGACGAGUCGAGUUGUUUGGGAAUGCAGCUCU
Molecule: ribosomal RNA, 782 nt
Filed under: fungal sp.
Lineage: Eukaryota; Fungi
Description: eukaryotic LSU rRNA
Rfam family: Eukaryotic large subunit ribosomal RNA (bases 492-782)
Source: RNAcentral